CACGUAGUUAGCCGGGGCUUCUUAGUCAGGUACCGUCAUUUUCUUUCCUGCUGAUAGAGCUUUACGUACCGAAAUACUUCUUCACUCACGCGGCGUCGCUGGAUCAGGGUUUCCCCCACUGUCCAAUAUUCCCCACUGCUGCCUCCCGUAGGAGUUUGGGCCGUGUCUCAGUCCCAAUGUGGCCGUCCACCCUCUCAGGCCGGCUACUGAUCGUUGCCUUGGUGGGCCGUUACCCCGCCAACCAGCUAAUCAGACGCGGGCCCAUCCCAUACCACCGGAGUUUUUCACACACCUUCAUGCGAAGCUGUGCGCUUAUGCGGUUUUAGCACCUGUUUCCAGGUGUUAUCCCCCGGUAUGGGGCAGGUUGCCCACGCGUUACUCACCCGUCCGCCACUAACUUACACUUCCGUUAGUCAAUGCAAGCAUCUCCUGCUUCUGUGUAAGUCCGUUCGACUUGCAUGUGUUAGGCACGCCGCCAGCGUUCAUCCUGACGCAGGAUCAAACUCU
This 507-nucleotide ribosomal RNA is filed under the name uncultured Lachnospiraceae bacterium. RNAcentral describes it as "partial 16S ribosomal RNA". Lineage: Bacteria; Bacillati; Bacillota; Clostridia; Lachnospirales; Lachnospiraceae. The record is from RNAcentral.